Molecule: transfer RNA, 65 nt
Filed under: Ectenagena elongata
Lineage: Eukaryota; Metazoa; Mollusca; Bivalvia; Venerida; Vesicomyidae
Description: tRNA-Thr
Source: RNAcentral
GGGACUAUAGUUUAAGAAGAAGAAUAAAAAUUUUGUAAAUUUUUGGUAGGUGAUACUUGGUUCUU